AGCAGCCGCGGUAAUUCCAGCUCCAAUAGCGUAUAUUAAAGUUGUUGCAGUUAAAAGCUCGUAGUUGAAUUUCGGGAUCAAUUUAUUGGUCGUGCAAUAGUACGUACUGGUAUUAUUGGUUCCUACCUUCUGAUGAACCAUGAUGUCAUUAAUUUGGUGUUAUGGGGAAUCAGGACUGUUACUUUGAAAAAUUGAGUGUUUAAAGCAGGCUCACGCUUGAAUACAUUAGCAUGGAAUAAUGAAAUAGGACGUUUGAUUUCUAUUUUGUUGGUUUCUAGGAUCGACGUAAUGAUUAAUAGGGAUAGUUGGGGGCAUUAGUAUUCAAUUGUCAGAGGUGAAAUUCUUGGAUUUUAUUGAAGACUAACUACUGCGAAAGCAUUUGCCAAGGAUGUUUUCAUUAA
Molecule: unclassified non-coding RNA, 401 nt
Filed under: uncultured Entrophospora
Lineage: Eukaryota; Fungi; Glomeromycota; Glomeromycetes; Entrophosporales; Entrophosporaceae
Description: SSU rRNA
Rfam family: Eukaryotic small subunit ribosomal RNA
Source: RNAcentral